Schistocerca americana (American grasshopper) is the source of this 521-nucleotide long non-coding RNA. RefSeq lists it as uncharacterized. The transcript is spliced from 3 exons. NCBI's taxonomy places the organism in Eukaryota, Metazoa, Arthropoda, Insecta, Orthoptera, Acrididae. The record is from RefSeq and is a predicted model, not a curated record.
UAUGUUUGUGUUUGUUUGUGUGUCUAUCGACCUGCCAGCACUUUCGUUUGUGACUGGCGGGGAAGGUUGAGAGGACCAGUCUUGCUCACAGAACUUCAAUGACGUUCACAAUUAGCAACUUGGUCCCCAGAACUGAUUAUGACCUCCUGGUUCUCAGUCAAAUGGACGGCUUAAACCAGAUAUACUUGUGUUUACAGUAAUUAAGUGUGAAACAGUGAGACUAGCAAUUCUUCUAAGGACAUGGAAGUUCGUCAAAAAGAAUAUAAGCUGAAGUAAAGGCAGCUAAUGUGAAGAAUACAUCAACAACUAGUGCCCCAUUUGCUAAGAGGAUACUGAAAAAGUUGCUGUAUAUCUGUGAAGAGAUACAAAAGUCAUCAUCAGUGAAUAUCAAAACGGCAGUGCAUAUAAAGUUGGAACAAUGACAUUUAAAUUGUAUUAAAUUUAUGAAUGGAAAUGCACAAUGUGAUAUUACGAUAUUUUAAAGUUUGUAAUAUCACAAAUAAAGCACACAUUAUACUGAA